UCCGUAGGUGAACCUGCGGAGGGAUCAUUACAGAGUUGCAAAACUCCCUAAACCAUUGUGAACGUUACCUAUACCGUUGCUUCGGCGGGCGGCCCCGGGGUUUACCCCCCGGGCGCCCCUGGGCCCCACCGCGGGCGCCCGCCGGAGGUCACCAAACUCUUGAUAAUUUAUGGCCUCUCUGAGUCUUCUGUACUGAAUAAGUCAAAACUUUCAACAACGGAUCUCUUGGUUCUGGCAUCGAUGAAGAACGCAGCGAAAUGCGAUAAGUAAUGUGAAUUGCAGAAUUCAGUGAAUCAUCGAAUCUUUGAACGCACAUUGCGCCCGCCAGCAUUCUGGCGGGCAUGCCUGUUCGAGCGUCAUUUCAACCAUCAAGCCCCCGGGCUUGUGUUGGGGACCUGCGGCUGCCGCAGGCCCUGAAAAGCAGUGGCGGGCUCGCUGUCGCACCGUGCGUAGUAGCAUACAUCUCGCUCUGGUCGCGCCGCGGGUUCCGGCCGUUAAACCACCUUUUAACCCAAGGUUGACCUCGGAUCAGGUAGGAAGACCCGCUGAACUUAAGCAUAUCAAUAAGCGGAGGA
This 575-nucleotide ribosomal RNA is filed under the name Chaetomium globosum. Its description in RNAcentral is "eukaryotic LSU rRNA". The stretch from base 206 to 359 matches the Rfam family "5.8S ribosomal RNA". The record is from RNAcentral. Lineage: Eukaryota; Fungi; Ascomycota; Sordariomycetes; Sordariales; Chaetomiaceae.